ACACCGUUGGUGAAGUGGUUAUCAUGCUUGCCUUCCAUCUCAGCCCGAUUUGAAGUAGAGGAGCAAGCGGCUCGGGUUCGAUUCCCGAACGGUGUA
Non-coding RNA from Lentinula lateritia, 96 nucleotides. NCBI's taxonomy places the organism in Eukaryota, Fungi, Basidiomycota, Agaricomycetes, Agaricales, Omphalotaceae. The record is from the annotation of a GenBank genome assembly.